AGCAGCCGCGGUAAUUCCAGCUCCAAUAGCGUAUAUUAAAGUUGUUGCAGUUAAAAAGCUCGUAGUUGAAUUUCGGGAUCAAUUUAUUGGUCGUGCCAACGGUACGCACUGGUACAAUUGGUUUCUCCCUUCUGACGAAGCAUGAUGUCAUUAACUUGAUGUCGUGGGGAAUCAGGACUGUUACUUUGAAAAAUUAGAGUGUUUAAAGCAGGCUUUGGCUUGAAUACAUUAGCAUGGAAUAAUGAAAUAGGACGUUUGAUCUUAUUUCGUUGGUUUCUAAGAUCGACGUAAUGAUUAAUAGGGAUAGUUGGGGGCAUUAGUAUUCAAUUGUCAGAGGUGAAAUUCUUGGAUUUAUUGAAGACUAACUACUGCGAAAGCAUUUGCCAAGGAUGUUUUCAUUAAUCAAGAAUGAAAGUUAGGGGAUCGAAGAGAUCAGAUAC
Molecule: ribosomal RNA, 440 nt
Filed under: uncultured Glomeromycotina
Lineage: Eukaryota; Fungi; Glomeromycota
Description: SSU rRNA
Rfam family: Eukaryotic small subunit ribosomal RNA
Source: RNAcentral